RNAcentral lists this ribosomal RNA (536 nucleotides) under uncultured Corynebacterium sp. RNAcentral's name for it is "bacterial SSU rRNA". It matches the Rfam family "Bacterial small subunit ribosomal RNA", at positions 813 to 1349 of the family's 1533-position model. Lineage: Bacteria; Bacillati; Actinomycetota; Actinomycetes; Mycobacteriales; Corynebacteriaceae. The record is from RNAcentral.
GCGCUAGGUGUAGGGGUCUUCCACGACUUCUGUGCCGUAGCUAACGCAUUAAGCGCCCCGCCUGGGGAGUACGGCCGCAAGGCUAAAACUCAAAGGAAUUGACGGGGGCCCGCACAAGCGGCGGAGCAUGUGGAUUAAUUCGAUGCAACGCGAAGAACCUUACCUGGGCUUGACAUAUGCAGGAUCGGCGUAGAGAUACGUUUUCCCUUGUGGUCUGUAUACAGGUGGUGCAUGGUUGUCGUCAGCUCGUGUCGUGAGAUGUUGGGUUAAGUCCCGCAACGAGCGCAACCCUUGUCUUAUGUUGCCAGCACGUAAUGGUGGGGACUCAUGAGAGACUGCCGGGGUUAACUCGGAGGAAGGUGGGGAUGACGUCAAAUCAUCAUGCCCCUUAUGUCCAGGGCUUCACACAUGCUACAAUGGUCGGUACAACGCGCUGCUAGCCUGUGAGGGUGCGCUAAUCGCUUAAAGCCGGCCUCAGUUCGGAUUGGGGUCUGCAACUCGACCCCAUGAAGUCGGAGUCGCUAGUAAUCGCAGAU